UGAAGAUAGCUCAGUCAGUAGAGCACGAGUUGCUUAAUCUCAGGGUUAUGGGUUCAAGACCCACACUGGUCAAAA
Non-coding RNA from Podarcis lilfordi (Lilford's wall lizard), 75 nucleotides. Lineage: Eukaryota; Metazoa; Chordata; Lepidosauria; Squamata; Lacertidae. The record is from the annotation of a GenBank genome assembly.